CAGUGCCUCACCACCCUCACUGUAAAAGACUUCUUCCUUAUAUCUAACCUGAAUCUAUCCUCUUUGAGCUUGAAGACAUUUCUCCUUGUUCUAUCACCACAGAUUCUCCUAUCUUCUUUCAAAAACACAUUCUGUAUGUAGAUGCCUGUGGGACUGUGGUGGGAUCUUUUGAUUUAAAUCCCAUUCACAGAUAAGUGUCUGUUCUAGCACCUUUUUACCACAGCUGCCUGCUUCUGAGUAAAAAUCCAAACUGGAUGGACUAUUUAGUAGUCAGUACAUUAGUACUGACAAGUUUUGUAAUGUCUGUGCAGAGCUGACAGUAAUAGUAAUAGAUAACAGUUCUACAUUUCCAGAUAUAAACUUGUCGGUAUUCCUUCAUCCAUUUGCAGAGUGGCAGAGUACUGGAACAUCCUGCCUAGAUUGAUUGAGGAGAUUCCUUGUCUGGAGAUAUUCAAGACCUGUCUGGAUGCCUACCUGUGCAGCGUGCUGUAGGGACCGUGCUUUAGCAAAGAGGUUGAACUCAAUGGUCUCUAGAGGUCCCUUCCAACCCCUACAAUUCUGUGAGUCUGUGAGAAUUUAAUUGAGCUGGGAAUUUUUGCCACUGAAUCUCCAAGGAAGAUCCUUACACCUCAAAGUGCAGGACCACCUGAAGUUUUAGAAAUGCUUCCUAGUCUUCAUCUACUGGCAAACUAUUCAGGAGGCACAACUCAGGUGGUAGCAUGGCUACUGCUUACACUGACAGCGGGAUGAGAGAGUUUACAUUUCCUCCUGGAUUUUCCAGGUAAUCAGUAGAGAAGUCAGUUCCACAACAUGAUUAAAUCAGACGUGAUGCUGAACUUCUAGUAACUUAGUCAUCAUCGGUAGCUAUCUCAAGCCUAAGAGGAAGUGGUUGAGAUGAGAUAUUCUUUCUCUACUGAUCUCAAAAGAAAAGACCAUGAAUAAUUUUACAAGCUUCUAAUAGUUUGG
RNAcentral lists this long non-coding RNA (966 nucleotides) under Gallus gallus (chicken). RNAcentral's name for it is "lncRNA (ENSGALG00010001075.1)". Lineage: Eukaryota; Metazoa; Chordata; Aves; Galliformes; Phasianidae. The record is from RNAcentral.